AAUGAUGUAAAUGCAUUAAUUUCUUUUGAUAAAAAAGAAACCUCAGAUGAUGUAAAAAAUGCAAAAGAUUUAAUGAACAAAAAAAAAACUGCAUGAAGAUCAAAGUAAUCCUUUAUGGUAUAACCAUAAAAGACACUUUUUCAUUUUUACUUAUUCAGGUAAACCAGUUUUACAAGAUAUGGAAAUGAAGAAAAUUUAACAAGUUUUUAUGGAACAUUACUUGCUAUAAUAUCAAAAAUUGAAUCAUUUACUUUUUCGACAAUAAAUAAAGAUGAUAAAAACAAUAAAAAAACAAAUAAGGAAACUACGAAAAACUCAUUAAAAUAUAUUAUUGGGAUAUCAGUAUCAAAAUAUGUUAUUAAUUCUAUGGAUAUUAUAAUCCUUAUAAAUAUGAUAACAUCAAUGAAGUCUUUCAAAAAAUGUUGAAUCAUGGACACCUAUAUGUUUGCCUAUAUACAACCCAAAUUUAUUUCUAUAUGCCUAUAUUAAUUAUAUAAAAAAAAAGGUUUGUUGUGUUUAUAUAUGUUCAGGUGCAUCACCUAAUGAUUUUUUUU
Molecule: long non-coding RNA, 554 nt
Filed under: Piliocolobus tephrosceles (Ugandan red Colobus)
Lineage: Eukaryota; Metazoa; Chordata; Mammalia; Primates; Cercopithecidae
Description: lncRNA (ENSPTEG00000002528.1)
Source: RNAcentral